This is a long non-coding RNA of Nothoprocta perdicaria, 772 nucleotides long. RefSeq lists it as uncharacterized. Lineage: Eukaryota; Metazoa; Chordata; Aves; Tinamiformes; Tinamidae. The record is from RefSeq and is a predicted model, not a curated record. The transcript is spliced from 2 exons.
AAUUCUGUUUGUAGACAUGAAGGCAGUGUUCUUAAAGCAAUGCACUUUGUUCUGAGCAUCUCUGUUCAUUUAGCAGCCCAAACCUGCUCCCACCUUUCAGUUCACUUUGAAGACUCAUUGUGAGACCCUUCAGGAAUAAUAUCUGCACCUUCAUAUCUCUCUGUGCGUUUGAUUUAAGCUCUUUGGAAUUAUCUCAUCUUGUGAAAUCAUCUCUCUUGAUAAUAGAUGCAUUCAAAGAGAACAGAAAAAUCAUCURCCUCAGAAAUAUAUCCCAUGUGUAUUCAGAAGACAACUUAGCGCGUCUCUGUAAAUCAGCAAGUUAUGUAGGGAACAGGUUGUAGGAUGACCACAAAAUUGUUGUACAGAUUUUAUUUGUCUCCUGCAAUGUUGCCAGACCUGGACACUUCCAAAGCAAAAUCAAACACAGACUGAUGCUCUCUGAAGAGAAAUAAACUGAAAUUUAUAUGCAAAGCAAAUACAACAUCAGACGCAAAGCCAUCAGACAUCAUUUGGAAGAAGGAAAGUAUUUUGUUUUUUACUGGCUUCGAGACUGUUAUGGAAAAGAAGAUAGAGGAAGGCCAAAAGAUUGCCAAAGUAUUUCCACAUUGAAUGGAAAAUUAUGUUUUGUCCUGGACUAUUAGACAAGUGCAUAAGGCAAUGUAGAUCUCUUUUUUUGUUGUUUUUAUUGUUCAAGAAGAACCUGGAGUUUCUGAACCAGAAACAUAAAAAGUACAUAAGUGCAGUGAUACCACGUUUAAUGUACUCGCAGAAA